This 429-nucleotide ribosomal RNA is filed under the name Acidobacteriota bacterium. Its description in RNAcentral is "Acidobacteria bacterium partial 16S ribosomal RNA". It matches the Rfam family "Bacterial small subunit ribosomal RNA", at positions 355 to 776 of the family's 1533-position model. The record is from RNAcentral. Lineage: Bacteria; Pseudomonadati; Acidobacteriota.
UGGGGAAUUUUGGACAAUGGGGGAAACCCUGAUCCAGCCAUCCCGCGUGUGCGAUGAAGGCCUUCGGGUUGUAAAGCACUUUUGGCAGGAAAGAAACGUCAUGGGUUAAUACCCCGUGAAACUGACGGUACCUGCAGAAUAAGCACCGGCUAACUACGUGCCAGCAGCCGCGGUAAUACGUAGGGUGCAAGCGUUAAUCGGAAUUACUGGGCGUAAAGCGUGCGCAGGCGGUUCGGAAAGAAAGAUGUGAAAUCCCAGAGCUCAACUUUGGAACUGCAUUUUUAACUACCGGGCUAGAGUGUGUCAGAGGGAGGUGGAAUUCCGCGUGUAGCAGUGAAAUGCGUAGAUAUGCGGAGGAACACCGAUGGCGAAGGCAGCCUCCUGGGAUAACCCUGACGCUCAUGCACGAAAGCGUGGGGAGCAAACAGG